RNA transcript from Centruroides sculpturatus (bark scorpion), 1134 nucleotides. RefSeq lists it as uncharacterized. The transcript has 4 exons. The record is from RefSeq and is a predicted model, not a curated record. Lineage: Eukaryota; Metazoa; Arthropoda; Arachnida; Scorpiones; Buthidae.
AUUGUCAUAAAUUCAUUUUAUUUUCAGGUAAAAAUUCUUCAAGGACUUGGACUUCAUACAACUCUCAUCACUGAUGGAAAUUGCCCCAUAAAUUUAUUUAAUACUGCACAAGGAUUGAUAGGAAAUUCCUUAUUGGAGCCACCCGCUAAAAUGCAAAAGGAAUAAGGAAACUCGCUAAGGCCAAUAUAAAAUUGGAUGAUGACUGCCAUUUUCAUUCCUUAAAAUAAUUACUGUUACUUGUGUUAAUGAAGGGAAGACUGUGUGAAUUCAGGCUAUUUGACAUUAGUUUGUUGUUGAAACAUGAGCAUUCUAUUUUUAAUACUAAUGAUACAAAUUGUUGUUUAAAAUCAAAUAUAUUUUUCCGAUUUUGCAAUUUCUGUAAAAUUAAACAGCUUUUCAAGUUUGUCUACACACCAUGCAAGAAAAAUUGAUGUACUUAGAACAAAUAAAAAUGUAUGCAGAUGUAGAUUAUUUACUUAUCUAAAUACAUCUGCUAUUAGAAUAAAUAAAUAUAUAUAUAUAUAUAUAUCUUCAACUAGCAGGUCAGUGUUGACCAGGCAAAAAGUAAUACAGAUAAACAUGAAAAUUAAAACAUUGCAUAAUAAUUAAUGGGUCAUUAUUAGGUUUAAUGCAUUAUUAUAUAAUUAUCGCUGCAUCAAAUUGAAAUUAUAGGAUUCCAGAAGAUUUCAUGUUAGCAGGAUCCAUAACAAUUACCCCUGCAGACCCAGCAAUUGGAAGAAAUUUUAAGUUGAUAUCAGGAGGACUAUUUAUUGCGCUGAAGUUAAUUGUGGAUUUAAUACAACAUAUAAUUACAAAUUAAGAGAACAUUUAAGAGACGAACACGAACUUGCUUCGUACGAAUCAAGAAAAAUUAUAUUCGAAUCUUUAGAAAAAUUUUGGGAAUGGAAACAUCAAGUCGAAAAAGCAAGUUGUUCAAAAUUUUUCCAAACUAGUAAGAAGAAAUUAGGUUCUGGUUAUAGUAAAUAUUAUUUUUCUUGUAACAGAACUGGAAUUUAUAAGCCAAAAGGAAAUAACAAGAGAGCUUUGAAGUUUCAGGUGAUUUUAUUAAUAUUGUGGACCACAAAGUCCUUAUGUAUGUUGAUUAGUGUUUCUGACAUCCUUAUCCAUGUUGUA